Molecule: transfer RNA, 87 nt
Filed under: Kushneria marisflavi
Lineage: Bacteria; Pseudomonadati; Pseudomonadota; Gammaproteobacteria; Oceanospirillales; Halomonadaceae
Also listed under: 1 other name
Rfam family: tRNA
About the family: Transfer RNA (tRNA) molecules are approximately 80 nucleotides in length.
Source: Rfam by way of RNAcentral
GGAGAGGUGGUCGAGUGGUCGAAGGCGCCGGUCUCGAAAACCGGAGUGGGUUUACGCCCACCGAGGGUUCGAAUCCCUCCCUCUCCG